UACGGAGGGCGCAAGCGUUGUUCGGAAUCACUGGGCGUAAAGCGCGUGUAGGCGGCUUGGUAAGUCGGGUGUGAAAGCCCGGGGCCUAACCCCGGAACUGCACUCGAAACUGCCUCGCUAGAGUCUCGGAGAGGGUGGGGGAAUUCCCGGUGUAGAGGUGAAAUUCGUAGAUAUCGGGAGGAACACCAGCGGCGAAGGCGGCCACCUGGACGAUGACUGACGCUGAGACGCGAAAGCGUGGGGAGCAAACAGG
Molecule: ribosomal RNA, 253 nt
Filed under: uncultured bacterium
Lineage: Bacteria
Description: partial 16S ribosomal RNA
Rfam family: Bacterial small subunit ribosomal RNA
Source: RNAcentral